AAUACAUGCAAGUAGAACGCUGAAGCUUGGUGCUUGCACCGAGCGGAUGAGUUGCGAACGGGUGAGUAACGCGUAGGUAACCUGCCUGGUAGCGGGGGAUAACUAUUGGAAACGAUAGCUAAUACCGCAUAACAGUAGAUAUUGCAUGAUAUCUGCUUGAAAGGUGCAAUUGCAUCACUACCAGAUGGACCUGCGUUGUAUUAGCUAGUUGGUGAGGUAACGGCUCACCAAGGCGACGAUACAUAGCCGACCUGAGAGGGUGAUCGGCCACACUGGGACUGAGACACGGCCCAGACUCCUACGGGAGGCAGCAGUAGGGAAUCUUCGGCAAUGGGGGGAACCCUGACCGAGCAACGCCGCGUGAGUGAAGAAGGUUUUCGGAUCGUAAAGCUCUGUUGUAAGAGAAGAACGAGUGUGAGAGUGGAAAGUUCACACUGUGACGGUAUCUUACCAGAAAGGGACGGCUAACUACGUGCCAGCAGCCGCGGU
This 489-nucleotide ribosomal RNA is filed under the name unidentified oral bacterium SH72. RNAcentral describes it as "bacterial SSU rRNA". It matches the Rfam family "Bacterial small subunit ribosomal RNA", at positions 50 to 521 of the family's 1533-position model. The record is from RNAcentral.